CCUACGGGAGGCAGCAGUGGGGAAUAUUGGACAAUGGGCGCAAGCCUGAUCCAGCCAUGCCGCGUGUGUGAAGAAGGCCUUCGGGUUGUAAAGCACUUUUGUUGGGGAAGAAAAGCCAUGGGUUAAUACCCUGUGGUUAUGACGGUACCCAAAGAAUAAGCACCGGCUAACUUCGUGCCAGCAGCCGCGGUAAUACGAAGGGUGCAAGCGUUACUCGGAAUUACUGGGCGUAAAGCGUGCGUAGGUGGUUUGUUAAGUCUGAUGUGAAAGCCCUGGGCUCAACCUGGGAAUGGCAUUGGAUACUGGCAGUCUAGAGUGCGGUAGAGGGUAGCGGAAUUCCCGGUGUAGCAGUGAAAUGCGUAGAUAUCGGGAGGAACAUCCGUGGCGAAGGCGGCUACCUGGACCAGCACUGACACUGAGGCACGAAAGCGUGGGGAGCA
Molecule: ribosomal RNA, 440 nt
Filed under: uncultured bacterium
Lineage: Bacteria
Description: bacterial SSU rRNA
Rfam family: Bacterial small subunit ribosomal RNA
Source: RNAcentral